GGAGUUAUAGCUCAGUGGCAUAAGCACCUGCCUGGCAAGCAUGAGGUCAUGGGUUUGAUCCCUACUACCA
RNAcentral lists this transfer RNA (70 nucleotides) under Cavia porcellus (domestic guinea pig). It matches the Rfam family "tRNA". Rfam says of the family: Transfer RNA (tRNA) molecules are approximately 80 nucleotides in length. Their secondary structure includes four short double-helical elements and three loops (D, anti-codon, and T loops). The record is from Rfam by way of RNAcentral. Lineage: Eukaryota; Metazoa; Chordata; Mammalia; Rodentia; Caviidae.